CAGGCGAGUGAGUAACGCGUGAGAACCUACCUUCAGGACGGGGACAACAGUUGGAAACGACUGCUAAUACCGGAUGUGCCGAGAGGUGAAAGGAUUUAUUGCCUGAAGAUGGGCUCGCGUCUGAUUAGCUAGAUGGUAGUGUAAUGGACUACCAUGGCGACGAUCAGUAGCUGGUCUGAGAGGAUGAGCAGCCACACUGGGACUGAGACACGGCCCAGACUCCUACGGGAGGCAGCAGUGGGGAAUUUUCCGCAAUGGGCGAAAGCCUGACGGAGCAAUACCGCGUGAGGGAGGAAGGUCUUUGGAUUGUAAACCUCUUUUAUCAGGGAAGAAAAAAAUGACGGUACCUGAUGAAUAAGCAUCGGCUAACUCCGUGCCAGCAGCCGCGGUAAUACGGAGGAUGCGAGCGUUAUCCGGAAUUAUUGGGCGUAAAGAGUCCGUAGGUGGUUUUACAAGUCUGCCGUUAAAGAAUGGAGCUUAACUCCAUGGGAGCGGUGGAAACUGUGAGACUAGAGUACAGUAGGGGUAGCAGGAAUUCCCAGUGUAGCGGUGAAAUGCGUAGAUAUUGGGAAGAACAUCGGUGGCGAAAGCGUGCUACUGGGCUGAAACUGACACUGAGGGACGAAAGCUAGGGUAGCGAAAGGGAUUAGAUACCCCUGUAGUC
RNAcentral lists this ribosomal RNA (664 nucleotides) under uncultured cyanobacterium. Its description in RNAcentral is "bacterial SSU rRNA". It matches the Rfam family "Bacterial small subunit ribosomal RNA", at positions 99 to 795 of the family's 1533-position model. Lineage: Bacteria; Bacillati; Cyanobacteriota. The record is from RNAcentral.